UGAACUUUGGAGAAUUGAAUACCCUUAAUGCA
RNAcentral lists this non-coding RNA (32 nucleotides) under Rattus norvegicus (Norway rat). Lineage: Eukaryota; Metazoa; Chordata; Mammalia; Rodentia; Muridae. The record is from RNAcentral.